RNAcentral lists this ribosomal RNA (440 nucleotides) under uncultured bacterium. RNAcentral describes it as "partial 16S ribosomal RNA". It matches the Rfam family "Bacterial small subunit ribosomal RNA", at positions 338 to 795 of the family's 1533-position model. The record is from RNAcentral.
CCUACGGGUGGCAGCAGUGGGGGAUAUUGCACAAUGGGGGAAACCCUGAUGCAGCGACGCCGCGUGAGUGAAGACGUAUUUCGGUAUGUAAAGCUCUAUCAGCAGGGAAGAAAAUGACGGUACCUGAUUAAGAAGCCCCGGCCAACUACGUGCCAGCAGCCGGGGGAAUAAGGAGGGGGCCAGCGUUAGCCGGAUUUACUUGGUGGAAAGGGAGCGUAGGCGGAAGCACAAGGCUGGAGUGAAAUGCCGGGGGUUAACCCCGGAACUGCCUUGGAAACUGUGCAGCUAGAGUGAAGGAGAGGGAGGUGGAAUUCCUAGUGUAGCGGUGAAAUGCGUAGAUAUUAGGAGGAACACCAGUGGCGAAGGCGGCUUACUGGACUGUAACUGACGUUGAGGCUCGAAAGCGUGGGGAGCAAACAGGAUUAGAUACCCCAGUAGUC